AUAAUUUGUUUUUAAGGUCUUUCCCCUACAUGGGAAAGACCUUAUUGUUUUUCUAAUGUUUUUUUUUUCUUUUUCUUUUUAAGGUCUUUCCUCUACAAAGGAAAGACCUUAUUGUUUUUCUUCCGUUUUUUCUUUUUCUUUUUUUUCUUCCAACAUUUUUUUGACAUGCCCGCCUCUUGUUUCUGAUCAAGUUAUUAAGACCAAAUAUGGACCAUUGCUAGACCUCACCAAGAUGUAUUACCAAAUGACCCUGUUAAGGAUUUCAUCAUCCUCUUUAGGAGUUAUUUCCCUUUUAUUGAUUUUUUUU
This 307-nucleotide long non-coding RNA is filed under the name Mytilus galloprovincialis (Mediterranean mussel). The record is from RNAcentral. Lineage: Eukaryota; Metazoa; Mollusca; Bivalvia; Mytilida; Mytilidae.